RNAcentral lists this long non-coding RNA (2541 nucleotides) under Triticum aestivum (bread wheat). RNAcentral's name for it is "long non-coding RNA (TAES_LNC000304)". Lineage: Eukaryota; Viridiplantae; Streptophyta; Magnoliopsida; Poales; Poaceae. The record is from RNAcentral.
ACACGCUCAUCCCUUCUGCUUAUAUCACAUAGUCAUCAUUCAACAAUAAUUUUACAAGACGACAUUCAACUCUUCGGUCUGACCCAUGAUGUACUUUCUCAAUAGCUCUUUUAUCAAGAUGUUAGGAUGAUCGAACACACAAGACGACCGAAAAAUCGAAGGCAUAGAAGCAACUCUACCAAAUUGUAUCCAAUAUACGCCCGCGACGCCCAAACGCCAUAAAGAAACGUCCAACAAACUGAAGACACGGCAUCAACACCAUCAACCUCAGGUAAUAUCCACAUGCAAUGCUUCACGUGUGUCAGCAUUUGAUCUCAGCUCAACCUUGCUUCUAAUCUUCUAUGUCAAAACUCUUCUAACCAUGUUUUUCCAUGCAUACAUACACUGCCAUGACAGUAGUGUGAAAGCUACAAAAAGAGCAACACUAUUGAACACAUAUUAAUUUAUAGUGCCAUACCAGAUAAACAAUAUUGAUCUCCAGAUGUUCUGUAUGUGACACCCCCAUUAUAGUCUCUAUAUCUCCAAAUGCACUUACAUGUCUGCAGUGGCAAAACAUUAUUAAGAAAACUCUAUAUGUCACUAACAAAAUAAUUUUUUUAGAGAUGACAGUCCAACAUACGUCAGCGCUAACAGCUCACCACACAAAAAGAAAGAAAGAUCAAGCUUUAAACUCAAGGAGCACAAAGAGGACAAGGACUGCAGAGGGAAGAAGAAAUACAAACAUAGAGGCUCCUAAACAAUUGAGAAAGGAUCAUGCUAAAGAAGAUAAGAAAUUGAAGCGUACAAGAAGCGAAAGCAACAAAAUUAACAUUAGAAUCAAUGUUGGAGACAGCAACAGAACCACAACCUCAACAAGUGCUAAUAGAAAGACAUGGAAAUUCGGAAGGCCAACAUACAAAUGCUAAUAUUGCAAAUCAUUGGUAUGGUGUGAAGAACGAUUAAAUUCAACAAAGGAACUAAGACACCCUCUUUUGGAAUAUGCUGCAAACAGGGAAAAAUCAAUCUGCCACCAAUAAGAGACCCUCCACCAUACCUCAGAAACCUCUUAAGAAGUGAAGGGCUGGAUUAUAUGGUCAUACAACUCAAUGUUUUCAUUCACAUCGAUGGGAGGAGUUGUGGACAAGGAAAUAAACACUCGCAAAGAACUUUCUCUUUUUCGUUUGCGUGGACAGAACUACCACCACAUCGGAACUCUUUUACCUAAAGGUACAGACAAACCUUGGUUCACACAGCUGUACAUCUAUAAUAAUGUAAAUAAGGUGGCAAACAUGAUAAGUGCGUCAAGAUGCAAUGAUAAUAAAUCAACAGUGGACCCCAACAUCGUCAAAGAACUGCAAAUAAUGCUCGACGACAACAACAUCCUUGCAAAAACAAAGUAGGAAUAUAUUUGCCUAAGCAAGCAUUCUGCCAUGGACAACUGUAUGUGGCAUUAUCGAGAGUGACAAACAAGGAAGGAUUGAACACGCUGAUCAAUAACAAAGAGUGUCCAACUGAAGAUGCCACAAAGAAUAUUGUUUAUAAAGAUAUUCUAAUUUAAAAUAUAGUUCAUCAAGUCAACAAAACUAGAAUUUUGCAUAGACAAUGCAUGUGCAAUUACAUAGAGUCGAAGACAACCUAACCAUAUAUAUAAAUAUGUCUGAUCUUUCCACAAAAUAUUACUUUUUUGUUAAUUAGUUAUUUAUUACCCCUGAAUAUUUUUAUCUCUCUUCUAACAUCAUUUAAAAAAGUUGAAGCAUGGAUAUUUUUACAUAGCUACAUACCUCCGUUUCAAAAUAUAAGCCUUUUAAGAUAUUUCAAUACAGACUACAUACGGAUGUAUAUAGAUAUAUUUUAGAGUGUAGAUUCACUCAUUUUGCACCUUAUGUAUUCCGUACUGGAAUCUCUAAAAAAACUUAUAUUUAGGAACAGAGGGAGUUUUAGAGUGUAGAUUCACUCAUUUUGCUUCUUAUGUAGUCCUUAUUGGAAUCUCUAAAAAAACUUAUAUUUAGGAACGGAGGGAGUACUAUAUUUGAUCAUUCUAGAGAAAGUUCACAAAGAAAUUCCACCUAAAUAGCGAUUACUAAUAUCUCUGCACUAACACUCUCAUCACUCUCACGAAUAGUCUCUAAAAAAAAUAGACAUCAACAUAGCCUCCUCAACCAAAUAAAUGUAUGUGUAUUCACGUAUAUAAAUGUUAACAAAUACAGACAAGACAAUGAACUAUUGAAAGAUUGUGUUAUAGGUAGUAGACGAAACAAUGAAGUAUUGAACACCUUUUGCUAUGCGGAACUUCACAUAAUUAAUACGGAUGUGUUGAAGAGACAAGCUAAAUUGAAGAGACGAUCUAAGUUGGGCAGAAUGUCAACUGAAAAAAAAAAGUUAAUUACCCAAAAUAACGCAAGGUAAGCAAAAGGGCAGGGGGAUAUGAGCAACUCUGACAUAAAUUGAGGCAAAUCUUCGCUCACUUGAUCCUAAAAAAAUUCCAUGCGCAUAUUGGUCACCUCUCUGCAUUUGCCCUUCCCGGCUUCUGAGUAGUACCUCACCGGAGAACACUCUCUUCGU